GGUCGAUUAGGUAUUGCAUAUACUUACGCGUGCAUGCAUAUAACUUUUCAGUUUUUGUUUGUAUCCUACGACGUGGAGUUUGCAGUAAAGAAAGUCGGCAAAGUAGGAAAAGAAAGGGUCACGCAGAAGUAAACGCUGAAUUGAUAAAAAAGAUGUGACGUCCAGUGUUAGAGACACGUAGCACCGGUAGUACCGUAACUCGUGGAUUUGUCGGUUGUCCUGUUUCACCUGUACCUGCAGUUCACGCCGGAUCACGCCCUUCUUCUUUACACCGCUCUCACUAACGGUUAAUCGUCGUCAACUACUUCUUGCGUUCGAAAGAAAAUUGAAUACACAGCUAGCGCCAUCGAGUAGCGAUAUCGAGUAACGAAUUUUGCCGCCUCUUCGGUUUCUUUAUUUUCCAGUAUAUCAGACACAUAUAUACUUGGGAACGUAAGUUAGAGAGCUCAUGACAUAUUCGGUUCCAAUCGACUAAUUGGAUAUUUCAAAAGAAUGAUAGUGCUACUUAAUAAGUUAAAACUAAAACAGAUUGUACAAGUAUCUGCUCGAUAUGCACAUGAAAAGAUUCACUGGGCUAAACUGAAGAAAAAGAAAGCGGCAAAAGAUAAAGCACUUGAACAUUUUAAUGAGUUUUACGCAGGCGUUUAUGGAGAUAAGUGGCCAGAUAUACGAGCUGCAUUGUUAUCAGAAGAAUCUAAAUAUAUGGCUGUGGUUAAUAAUUUCAGUGAUCCAGAAAGAAUCCAACCUGAGUUGGAGUUACUUGGUGCAAUAAAUUUGAGGAGUUUAUAUAAUGUACAAAAAGAAAAUGUAGAAUUCUUUAAAGCUAAAAGAGCAGCAAGAUAUGGUAAUUUUCCAGAUAAACAAAAUUCAGAGGACAUUACAACAUCUAAAGAUCAAUUAGCAGAACUUCAAACAACUUAUUCUACUAAUUAUCCAAAUUUAUUAGAAACAUUAAAUGCUGAAACUACUGAAUUUGUUAAGGAAGAUCAACGAAUACCUACAGAACUAAAAUCUAUAGAUGAAAAUUUAAAUGAAGUGGAAUUAGAUACCAAUCGUAUCGUCAAUUCAUCCGUAGACUCAGCUAUACUUCAGGAAUAUAUACCUGCUACCAAAAUAAAAGGCUUGGAUGAUUGGGUUUUGGAAUCUGACUAUUAUAGGUUUUAUGAUAAAGCUAGUGAUUUUGAAAUAAAUGUUGAGAAAGAAUUUGUUCUGCCAUUUCCAGAACAUUUGCAUAUAUAUGCUUUUGAAAGAGAAAAUAACAAUAGAUUUCCAAAUCCUAAGAAAGGAUCUACUGGUGUUUCAGAUUAUUACUUGUUUGAUGGUGGAUCUAUACUUCCUGUGUUGGCUCUAGAUAUACAGUUUAAUGAUAUGGUCCUUGAUAUGUGUGCUGCACCUGGAGGGAAAGCUUUGACCAUCCUCCAAACUCUUAUGCCUCGUAUACUGGUUGCUAAUGAUGUUACAGAAUCUAGAAUAAAAAGACUCAAAAACGUUAUGAAUCAAUAUGUUUCAAACAUGUGCGAAAAAGAAAAUAUGUUAAUUAUAACACAACAAGAUGCUAGAGCAAUUGAUGAGAAUGGUAGAUAUAACAAGAUCUUAGUUGAUGUACCAUGUACAACGGAUAGGCACAUUUUACAUUCUGAUGACAACAAUAUUUUCAAACCAAGUAGAGUUAAGGAAAGAUUAAAAAUGCCAGAAGUUCAGUCUGAGAUUUUAACGACUGCAUUGAAAUUGGUUUCAGUAGGAGGUACAGUUGUUUAUUCGACAUGUUCACUUAGUCCUGUACAAAAUGAUGGUGUUGUACAUGUAGCAUUAAAAAAAGCGUGGGAAGAAAACAAUUCUGUUAUGGUCGUAAAAGAUAUGACAGAAGCACUGUUACCCUUACGAUGUCUAUAUAACUUUGGUAACAUUGACUUAAAAUAUGGUCAUAUUGUUGUACCUAAUCUGAAAAAUAAUUGGGGACCAAUGUAUUUUUGUAAAAUGGUGAAAGUGCAAUAGGUGUGAAUGACUGAGAGCCCAUUGGAUAAUUAAAAUUAAAUAAUUAAAUAAUGAAAUAAUUUAUAUUUCUAUGCAGACAAUUAACUCAUAUCGAACUUCAGUAUUUGAUUCAUAAAAGUAGGCAGCUCGAUAAGCAACAUGUACCAACCAAAAUUACUGCAGAAAUGAGCGAUUAAGAUUGCCAUAAAUGGUUUAGAUCGUAAUACCUCGCCCCAGGGAACUGAUAAUUUCUGAACAAUAUUACGAAUAUAACAAAUAAAGAUACUAAUUAUACAUAUAUAAAA
Molecule: RNA transcript, 2279 nt
Organism: Bombus huntii
Lineage: Eukaryota; Metazoa; Arthropoda; Insecta; Hymenoptera; Apidae
Gene name: 5-methylcytosine rRNA methyltransferase NSUN4
Exons: 9
Source: RefSeq, a predicted model, not a curated record